This 1309-nucleotide ribosomal RNA is filed under the name Acanthacorydalis asiatica. RNAcentral's name for it is "16S ribosomal RNA". The stretch from base 1066 to 1224 matches the Rfam family "Archaeal large subunit ribosomal RNA", at positions 2542 to 2701 of the family's 2987-position model. The record is from RNAcentral. Lineage: Eukaryota; Metazoa; Arthropoda; Insecta; Megaloptera; Corydalidae.
GAAAAAAGAAUUAUUUAUUUAUUUUGUUUAAUUAUUAUUUAAUAUAAAUAAAUUUAGUUAUAUUUUUUUUUGUAAAUUUUAUUGAUAAAAUAAUUUUUAUUAUAGUAAAUUAGUAUUGAAGAAGAAGUUUGAAAAAUUAAUUAUUUAUAUGUAAGUAAUAUUAAUUUUAUGUACCUUUUGUAUCAGGGUUUAUUAAUUAAAAUUUAAUGAAUUUAAAAUUCUCGAAUUAAAAGGAGCUAAUUAAAUAUGAUAUUUUUUGUUUUAUAACAAUUAUAAAUAUUUAUUUAGAAAUGAAAUGUUAUUCGUCUUUUAAAAUAUCUAGUUUUUUAAGAAAUAAAUUUAAUUUAUAUAUUAAUUAUAUAACAAUUUAAUUUAUAAAUAUGUUAUUAAUUAAUAUAAAUAUAUUAAGGGAUAAGCUUUAAUUUAUUAUAUUAUAAUUUAUAGUAAUUUAUAUUAAUUGUAGAUUUAGAAAUAGUUAUCAAUAAAAAUUUUGUAUUAAUUUAUAAAGGUUAAAAAAAUAUUUAUUGUAAAUUUAAUUAUAGUAUUAAAAUAUAAUUUUUAAUAAUAAAAAUUUAGUAAUAAUGAUAAAAUUAGUAUAAAUAGAAUGUUUAAAUUUAUUAUUUUAAAAAAAUUAAUUUAAGGAAUUCGGCAAAAAUAAUGUUCACCUGUUUAACAAAAACAUGUCUUUUAGAUUAUAAUUUAAAGUCUAACCUGCCCACUGAAAUUUUUGAAGGGCCGCGGUAUUUUGACUGUGCAAAGGUAGCAUAAUCAUUAGUCUUUUAAUUGAAGGCUUGUAUGAAUGGUUGGAUGAAACAUUAACUGUCUCAAAUUAAUAUUUAGAAAUUAAUUUUUAAGUUAAAAAGCUUAAAUAAAGUAAUAGGACGAGAAGACCCUAUAGAUCUUGAUAAUUAAUAAUUUAAUUAUAUUUUAGUUAAAUAUACAUUUUUAUUUUAAAAAUUAUUGUAUUGGGGUGAUAAAUAAAUUUAGUAAACUUUAUAAUAAAAAAACAUUAAUUUAUGAAUAUUUGAUCCAUUAAUAAUGAUUAAAAGAUUAAGUUACCUUAGGGAUAACAGCGUAAUUUUUUUAGAGAGUUCAGAUCGAUAAAAGAGUUUGCGACCUCGAUGUUGAAUUAAAGAUUAGUUUAGGUGUAGAAGUUUAAAUUUUUGGUCUGUUCGACCAUUAAAUCUUUACAUGAUUUGAGUUCAAACCGGCGUGAGCCAGGUUGGUUUCUAUCCUUUAUUAUUAAAAAUAUUUUAGUACGAAAGGACCAAAUAUUUAAAAAAAUUUUUAUGAUAUGAAGAAAAUUAAU